CACGAGAGGGGGACUAUAUAAGAAUCAAUGAAGCUGUCACUAUCACGAACCACCCCACGAUCUGGCAUAUUGAGUACAAUCGCAGAUAAAUACGGUAUAAGCACCACGCCUACACAAUAUCUAUCAUUUACCUAUGGAUCCGAUGGAUAAACGCUAUACGAUCCUAAACAUGUAUAUAGAUCCAAUCUAACUAAGCCAAGUAUAUAACUAUGAUAAACUAAGAACAAUAUAAUCUUGAAUAUAAGCAAGU
RNAcentral lists this long non-coding RNA (250 nucleotides) under Sorghum bicolor (sorghum). Its description in RNAcentral is "long non-coding RNA (SBIC_LNC011946)". Lineage: Eukaryota; Viridiplantae; Streptophyta; Magnoliopsida; Poales; Poaceae. The record is from RNAcentral.